This 75-nucleotide transfer RNA is filed under the name Natrinema saccharevitans. RNAcentral describes it as "Haloterrigena saccharevitans tRNA". It matches the Rfam family "tRNA". Rfam says of the family: Transfer RNA (tRNA) molecules are approximately 80 nucleotides in length. Their secondary structure includes four short double-helical elements and three loops (D, anti-codon, and T loops). RNAcentral also lists the same sequence under 8 other names. Lineage: Archaea; Methanobacteriati; Methanobacteriota; Halobacteria; Halobacteriales; Natrialbaceae. The record is from Rfam by way of RNAcentral.
GGGCCCUUAGCUCAGUCUGGUAAGAGCGCUCGGCUCAUAACCGAGUGGUCGAUGGUUCGAAUCCGUCAGGGCCCA